CAAAGAUUAAGCCAUGCAUGUCUAAGUACAUACCUCGACAUGGUGAAACUGCGAAAGGCUCAUUAAAUCAGUUAUGGUUCCUUAGAUCGUACAAUCCUACUUGGAUAACUGUGGCAAUUCUAGAGCUAAUACAUGCUACACAGCUCCGACCUUCACGGGGAGAGCGCUUUUAUUAGUACAAGACCAACCCGGGUUCGCCCGGCCGCUUGGUGACUCUGAACAACUUUGUGCGGAUCGCACGGCCUCGCGCCGGCGACGUAUCUUUCAAGUGUCUGCCCUAUCAACUUUCGAUGGUACGUGCUAUGCCUACCAUGGUUGUAACGGGUAACGGGGAAUCAGGGUUCGAUUCCGGAGAGGGAGCAUGAGAAACGGCUACCACAUCC
This 383-nucleotide ribosomal RNA is filed under the name Ensis directus. RNAcentral's name for it is "SSU rRNA". It matches the Rfam family "Eukaryotic small subunit ribosomal RNA", at positions 38 to 417 of the family's 1831-position model. The record is from RNAcentral. Lineage: Eukaryota; Metazoa; Mollusca; Bivalvia; Adapedonta; Pharidae.